UAGGUACUAAAAGUUUUAUUAUUUACUUAUCCCUCCUUCUAAGAAUUAUACAGGUAAUCCUUACCUUCAUAGGGGUAAAUAUUUCUAUGAAAUAAUAAUCAAUGUCAUCAAAAUUCUACUUACAGGUUCACUUAUAUUACAAAGUGAAUACACAUUUUUAGAUUUACACUACAAGUUUGCAGCAGCCUGCUACAAUCUGAACAUCAACCACCAAGCACUUGCUGCCACUAAGAAGAACCUUGAGUUGCCGAGCACUUUGAACAAAAUCCAUGCACACACUGCUAGACACUUUGUUCUAUUGCUUUGAUCUGAAUUCCACGUUUCAAAAUGGAUUUAUAAGCUGGAGUUCUUGACCAUUCAUCAAUUUCACUAGCACGUAGAACAGGCAGAGGAUGUGACAGUUGCCUUGUUUGUGCAUUCCUAAUCAGCAGCCAGAAGUUUAGCUUCUGAAUGGAAACAAAAUCCUAACAUAAUUUUCCAGUGCCCUAAACAAGACGCUACAAACCUUAUAUACCAUCCAACUGGGCUGGAAGCAGCUUUUUCAUAAGAGCGAGCUUGCUCCAGGAAUGCAUCCACAUUUAGCUGAUCAGCCAUAGAUGGACAUCCCCCGGCUAAUUUCAUGAGGACAGAGA
RNAcentral lists this small RNA (632 nucleotides) under Vigna angularis var. angularis. RNAcentral's name for it is "Non-protein coding transcript". Lineage: Eukaryota; Viridiplantae; Streptophyta; Magnoliopsida; Fabales; Fabaceae. The record is from RNAcentral.